AAUCAACGCUGGCGGCGUGCCUAACACAUGCAAGUCGCACGAGAAAGGGGAGCAAUCCCUGAGUACAGUGGCGCACGGGUGAGUAACACGUGAAUAAUCUACCUCCGAGUGGGGAAUAACUGAGAGAAAUCUUAGCUAAUACCGCAUAACACUUACGAGUCAAAGCAGCAAUGCGCUUGGAGAGGAGUUCGCGGCAGAUUAGUUAGUUGGCGGGGUAANGGCCCACCAAGACGAUGAUCUGUAUCCGGCCUGAGAGGGCGCACGGACACACUGGAACUGAAACACGGUCCAGACUCCUACGGGAGGCAGCAGUGGGGAAUUUUGCGCAAUGGGGGAAACCCUGACGCAGCAACGCCGCGUGGAGGAUGAAAUAUCUUGGUAUGUAAACUCCUUUCGAUGGGGAAGAUUAUGACGGUACCCAUAGAAGAAGCCCCGGCUAACUUCGUGCCAGCAGCCGCAGUAAG
Molecule: ribosomal RNA, 464 nt
Filed under: uncultured bacterium
Lineage: Bacteria
Description: bacterial SSU rRNA
Rfam family: Bacterial small subunit ribosomal RNA
Source: RNAcentral